AUUGAACGCUGGCGGCAUGCUUUACACAUGCAAGUCGAACGGCAGCACGGGGGCGAACCCUGGUGGCGAGUGGCGAACGGGUGAGUAAUGCAUCGGAACGUACCCAGUCGUGGGGGAGUAACGCAGCGAAAGUUGUGCUAAUACCGCAUACGACCUGAGGGUGAAAGCGGGGGACCGUAAGGCCUCGCGCGAUUGGAGCGGCCGAUGUCUGAUUAGCUAGUUGGUGGGGUAAAGGCUUACCAAGGCGACGAUCGGUAGCUGGUCUGAGAGGAUGAUCAGCCACACUGGGACUGAGACACGGCCCAGACUCCUACGGGAGGCAGCAGUGGGGGAAUUUUUGGACCAAUGGGGCAACCCUGAUCCAGCCAUGCCGCGUGAGUGAAGAAGGA
This 389-nucleotide ribosomal RNA is filed under the name uncultured bacterium. Its description in RNAcentral is "bacterial SSU rRNA". It matches the Rfam family "Bacterial small subunit ribosomal RNA", at positions 29 to 415 of the family's 1533-position model. The record is from RNAcentral.